UAUUUAAUUGUUUUUUUUAGAUAUUAUAUUAUUUAAACAACUUAUAAGUCAUAACCGAACAUGAAGUUGCUUCUGAUAUCAACUUUGUUGUCAUGUGCUUGGGCAGAUACAUAUAAUUCGAUUACCGUCGAAGAUUACGAGCUCACAUACUACUAUUGGGGCGAUGAUACGGUAGAAUUUUCCGAGGCAAGGCACGCUUGCGUUACAAUGAAUGGCAACCUGGUGAAAGUGGA
Styela clava is the source of this 233-nucleotide non-coding RNA. NCBI's taxonomy places the organism in Eukaryota, Metazoa, Chordata, Ascidiacea, Stolidobranchia, Styelidae. The record is from RefSeq and is a predicted model, not a curated record.